This is a long non-coding RNA of Manis pentadactyla (Chinese pangolin), 17432 nucleotides long. RefSeq lists it as uncharacterized. NCBI's taxonomy places the organism in Eukaryota, Metazoa, Chordata, Mammalia, Pholidota, Manidae. The record is from RefSeq and is a predicted model, not a curated record. The transcript is spliced from 6 exons.
UUGCAUUACCACAGAGGGUACAAGGGACUGUUAAUGUGUUUAAAUGCAGCUGUGGUCCUUAUGUUAAUCUAGGAUCUCAUUUGCACCUAACUUCCUUUACAUUAUUCAGUGGUUACUUAGGACUAUUAAUGUGCUUAAUUGCAGCUACAGUCCAUUCUAUUAGCCUAGGAACCAAUCCCUUUCUACUUGAUGUGAAUUACAGGAGAGCAAACUUGGGACUGUUAAUGCGCUUAAAUGCAAUUAAAGUCCCUUAUAUUAACCUAGGAUCGCAACCCACCUAAUUCUCUUUCCAUUAUUGCAAAGGGUGCUUCGGAUUGCUAAUGUGCUUAAAUGCAACUGAAGUUCUUUUUGUUAGUUUAGGAUCCCAUCCCCUUGUACUCCCUUUGCAUUACAGCAGAGAGUAUUUGGGACUUUAAUGUGCUUAAAUGCAACUACAAUCCCUUCUGUUAGUGAAGGGUUCCGUCCUCCCCAACUCCCGCUGCACCACAGCAGAGGCUAUUUGGGACUGGUACUGUGCUGUAAUGCAGCUACAGUCUGUUUUGUUAACCUAGGAUCUCAUACCCACCUAACUCCCUUAACGCUAUUACAGAGGGUACCUGGACUGCUGAUAUGCUUAAAUGCAGCUCUUGCCCCUUAAAUAUGUUUGGGAUUGCAUCCUUCUAGAGAGUACUUUGCAUCACAACAGAGAGUACUUGGACUGUUAAUGUGCUUAACUGCAGCUAUAGUCCAUUCUGUUAGCCUAGGAACCAGUCCCUUACUACUUCGUAUGAAUUAUAGGAGAGUAAACUUGGGACUGUUAAUGUGCUUAAAUGCAAUUAUAGUCCCUUAUGUUAACCUAGGAUAGCAAGCUACCUAAUUCUCUUUCCAUUAUUGCAGAGGGUGCUUGGGACUGUUAAUGUGCUUAAAUGCAGCUGUGGUCCCUUAUGUUAAUGUAGGAUCUCAUUCACACCUGGCUUUAUAUUAUGCAGGGAUUACUUAGGACUGUUAAUGUGCUUAAUUACAGCUACAGUCCACUCUUUUAGCCUAGGAACCAGUCCCUUAAUACUUGAUGUGAAUUACAGGAGAGUGAGCUUGGGACUGUUAAUGUCCUUAAAUGCAAGUACAGUCCCUUUAUUAGUCUUUGAUCCCAUCCCCUUCUGCCCCCUUUGCAUCACAGCAGAGGGUAUUUGGGACUUAAAUAUGCUUAAAUGCAGUUAUAGUCCCUUAUAUUAACCUAGGAUCCCAACCCACCUGAUUAAUUUUCUACAUAUUGUAAGGUAUGCUUGGGACUUUAAUGUGCUUAAAUGAAGCUAUUAUCCCUUCUGUUAGUGCAGGAUUCCAUUCUCCCCAACUCUCCUUGCAUCACAGCAGAGGGUAUUUGGGACUGUUGCUGUGAUUUAAUACAGCUGAUGUCCCUUUUGUUAACCUAAGAUCCCAUUCCCACCUAACUCCCUUAAUGCUAUUACAGAGGGUAGCUGGACCGUUGACAUGCUUAAAUGCAGUUUUUGCUCCUUACAUAUGUUUAGAUUUCAUCCUUCCACCUUCCUUUGCAUCACAACAGAGUACUUGGGACUGUUAAUGUGCUUAAAAGCUGGUAUAGUUCCUUUUGUUGGUAGGAUCCCAUCCCUUUCUACUCAUAUUUGCAUUACUACAGAGAGUACUUGGGAUUGUUAAUGUGCUUAAAUGCAGUUAUUGUUCCUUAUGUUAGGGUAGGAUUCCACUCUCCCCACACCUUUUGAUCAUAGUGGAGAGUAUUGGGACUGCUAGCGUGCAUCUUUAGUCCCUUCUGUUAGUCUUGGAACCUAUCCCAACCUAUUCUCUCCGACCACAGAGGGCACAAAGGACUGUUGAACUGAUUAAUGUGGCUAUGGUCCCUUCUGUUAGUCUAGAAUCCCAUCCCCUACUACUGUCUUUGCAUUACCACAGAGGGUACAAAGGACUGCUACUGUGCUUAAUUGCAGCUAUGGUCCCUUAUGUUAAUCAAGGAUUUCAUUCACACCUAACUUCCUUUACAUUGUACAGGGGUUACUUAGGACUGUUAAUGUGCUUAACUGCAGCUACAGUCCACUCUAUUAGCCUAGGAACCAGUUCCUUUCUACUUGAUGUGAAUUACAGGAGAGUGAAUUUGGGACUGUUAAUGUGCUUAAAUGCAAUUAAAGUCCCUUAUGUUAACCUAGAAUCCCAACAUACCUAAUUUCUUUACAUUAUUGCAGAGGAUGCUUGGGACUAUUCAUGUGCUUAAAUGCAGCUAUAGUGCCUUCUGUUAGUCUUGGAUCUCAUCCCCUUCUGCUCCCUUUGUGUUAAGAGCAGAGGGUAUUUGGGACUUACUGUGAUUUAAUGCAGCUGGUGUCCGUUUUGUUAAAGGAGGAUCCUAUACCCACUUAGCUCCCUUAGCACUAUUAGGUAGGGUACCUGGACCAUUGAUAUGCUUAAAUGCAGUUUUUGCUCCUUAAAUAUGUUUAGAUUCCAUCUUUCUACCUUCCUUUGCAUCACAACAGAGAGUACUUGGGACUGUUAAUGUGCUUAAAAGUCGCUAUAGUCCCUUUUGUUCAUAGGAUCCCAUCCCUUUCUACUUGCUUUUCAUUACCACAGAGGGCACAAGGGACUGGUAAUAUGUUUAAUGUUGCUAUUUUCCCUUAUUAGUCUAGGAUCCCACCCCUCCUACAUUACUUCAGGGUACAAGGGACUGUUGAUGUGCUUAAAUGCAGUUAUGGUCCCUUAUGUUAACCUGGAGUCUUAUCCCCAUCUAACUCCCUUUGAAUUAUUGAAGGGUAACAUGAGACUUAAUAUGCUUAAAUGAAGCUACAGUCCUUUCAGUUAUUGUAGGGUAUCACCCCCUUGUUGCCUUGCAUUAAAAGAGGGUACAGGGAACUUCUCAUGUGCUUAAAUUCAGUUACAAUCCCUCCUGUUAGCUUAGGAUCCAAUCCCCAUCUGACUCCCUUUACAUUAUUGCAGAGGGUACAAGGGACUAUUACUGUGCUUCAUUGCAGCCACAGUCCCUAAUGUUAACCUAGGAUGGCAUCCCCCCCCCCCCCACUUUCUUUGCAUUAACACAGAGGGUACGAGGAUUGGUAAUGUGUUUAAAUGUACCUGCGGUCACUUAAUGAUAAUCUAAUAUCCUGUCCUCAUCUAAUGCCCUCUACAUUGCUUUGGAGGGUACAAGGGACUGUUAAAGUGCAUAAAUGCAAGCUCUGGUCCCUUAUGUUAAUCUAGGAUCCCAUUCCCACCCAACUCCCUUUGCAUCACUGCAAAGGGUUCCUGGGACUGUUAAUGUACUCAAAUGCAGCCAGAGUCCCUUUUGUUAGUCUAGGAUCUCAUACUCUCCUACUCACUUUGCAUUACCACAGACAGUAUUAAGGACUGUUAGGUGCAUAAAUGCAUGUGUCCCAUCAGUUAACCUAGGAUCCCAUACCCACCUAACUCCUUUGCAGAGGGUACCUGGGACUAUUAAUAUGCUUGUAAAUGCACUACAGUUACUUUUGUUAGUCUAGGAUCCCAUCCCUUUCUACUUGUGCAUACCUCAGGGUAGAAGGGACUGUUAAUGUGCUUAAAUGCAUCUCUUGUCCCUAUGUUAACCUAAGAUCUCAUCCCCUCCAACUCCCUUUGCAUUACUGUAGAGGGUACUUGAGACCUUUAAUGGGCUUGAUUGUAGCUGUGGCCCCUUCUUUUAGUCAAGUUUCCCUUGCCCUCCAAUUCUCUGCUUUUUAGUAGAGGGCACUUGGGAUUAAUGAUGUGCUCAUCUGCAACUGUGGUCCCUUGAGUUAAUCUAGGAUCCCAUCCCUUCCUACUCUUCUGUAUGACUUGGGGGUACUUGGGACAGAAAGGUGCUUAAUUGUAGCUAGAGUCCUGUAUGUUAGUCUAGGAUCCCAUGCCCUCCAACUCCCUUUACAUUACCUGGAAGGAUUUGGGGGACCAUUAAAGUGCUCAGUUGCAGCUACGGUCUCAUGUUGGUCUAGUUUCCCAUCCUUUCCACUCCUUUUGCGUGACCUGGAAGCAGAUUUGGGACUAUUAACGUGCUCAUUUGCAGCUGUGGUCCCUUCUGUAGUCUGGAGUCACUUGCCCUCUAACUUACUUUGCUUUACCAUAGAUGGUACUUUGGACUGUUAAUGUGCCUAAAUGAAGGUAUGGUCCCUUUUGUCAAUCUAGGAUCUCACCUCCUUUCCAUUACUUGGUUGCAGAUUUGUUACUGAAAGGUGCUUAACUGCAGCUGUGUUCUGCUGUGGUAGUCUAGCAUCCAACACCUUCCAACUCCUUUGCAUUACAGCAGAGGGUGUUUGGGGCUGUUAAAUGCUCACUUAUAGCUGUGGUCCUUUCUCUUGUCUGGAAUCCCACGUCACCAACUUCUCUGACGUUCCCCGGCAGUUUUCGGGACUAUUAAAGUACACCGUUUCCCAUGGUCUUAUACUGCAUUUACAGUACUUGGGAUUGUAUUUGGGACUGUUAAAAGUGCUUAAUUGAGCUGUGGUCCCUUCCUAUUAGUAUGGUUUCCCCUGCCCUCUUUACCCUCUUUGCAUUACACAGAGGGUACUUGGGACUUUGAAAGUGCUUAACAGCAGCCAUGGUCCCUUUUGUAUUUUAGGAUCUCAUGACCUCCCACUCCCUUUACAUUACCUGGAAAGGUUUGGGGCUGUCAAAGUGCUCGAUUGUAGCUGUGGUCCCUUCUGCUAGUUUGGGGAUCCAUGCCUUUCAAUUUCGUUUGCAUUACCACAGAGAGUACUUGGGACUGAAGGCAGGUGUGAUCUCUUUUGUUAGUUUAGGAUCCCAUAAUCUCCCAAUCCCUUUAUGUUACCUGGGAAGGCACUUGGGACUGUUAAGGUGCCUAACUGCAGCAGUGGUCCCUUCUGUUAGUCUAUGAUACAGUCCCCUCCUACUCCCUUUGCAUUACCUCAGAUGGUACUUGAGAUUGUCAAGGUGCAUCCCUUCCUCUCACACCCUGUUAGCACUACAGCAUUACCUGCUGAACACAAGGCUGCUUUUUUUGCACUGUUACCGUGCAUAAUUGCAUUUGUCCCUCUUACUCUGCAGUAUAUAAAAUCCUCACUUAUUUCCCUUGUAUUCAUCAGUGGAUGUCCUUUACUCAAGACCUUUGUGCCUGGGUAGUUAAAGUGAGCCGUGAUAAUUGACUAUAGCUAUGUCUUUCAUUUAAGUCCCCUGUACUCUUUGUUUAAAAGAAGGUGUUACUUUUUUUAACUACCACAUUAACUUUUUCUGGGACUACUGAUGUGCAAAAUUCCAAUUUUCAUGGUCCCUCCCUUUAAUAUCCCACCUGUUUCAUAUUACAGCAGGGGAUGCUAGUCACCCAAAGUCCUUCAUUUGGGACUUUAAUGCACAUGUGCCCUCCUGAUAAUAAGCUAAUAUCCUUACUUCUUGGUAUUAUAGCAGGGGUAUUAUAUUAUACUGACCACCUGAAGUCUUUUCUUUUGGCCAGUUUAAUGUGCAAAAUUGCACUAGGAUCUGAUCCCCAUCACACCUCCUUUACAUGGGGGUGCUGAGCAUCUAUGGCUACUUCUCCUGUACAAUUUAAGUGUGCAUAAUUUCAGUAAUCCAUGCUCCUUUAUGUCAGAAUGGGAUCCCACUUCCUCGCCCCAUUUACAUUACUGCAGGGGCUUCUGGCUAGCCAAGAUUCACUCUCUUGGAUUGUUACUGUGCAGAGUUAUAUUUACUUCUGCACCUGUAUAUCACGUUUAAGACCCUCUUCAUACUAUUAAUAUUCUAGCAGGAGGUGCCUAUUGCUCAAGACCUUACACACUAAUGUACUUAAUGUAUACACUCUUAUUGUCUUAUAGACACUCUGAGUUGUCCACUACUGUGCCUUUUAGAUCAUAUUCUGCACUUACUGAAACAGGUACUGUCACACAUCAUAAAGACCUUCUCUUGGGACUGUGGAUAUGUAAUUACAGUUGUCCGUGGUCUUAAGUUACCUUGGGUUCCUGAUUGCUUUUCAUACCCUCUUUGCUUUACUGCAUGGGUUACUGUCCACUUAUGGCCCCUCUCUCAAACUGUGAAUGUGCAUAAUGACAAUUACAUUAGGAUCCUUUCUCCUCACAGUCCCUUUUAAGUUUUGCAGGGAUUUUUACCCCUAAGGGCCCAUUUCUUGGCCUGUUAAUAUGGUUAAUUGUCUUUGGGUUCCUGUGAAUUAGGCAAGGACACCUCCCCCCACUCCUCUUCUCUUUCAGCAGGGAGGGCCCCUUCCCCAAGAAUGUUAAACUUGGACAGUCGAGGUUCACAACUGCAAUCGACCACAGACAUGCACCUUGGACAUUAAUGUGCAUAAUUGCACAUGGCUUGUCCCACUUAAGAUCCUACCCUCUCAGACCCCUUUUGUAGUGCAGCAGGGGUGCUGGUCACUAAGGCCUCUUUUCAUGGCUUGCUAUUGUGCAUAAUUGCAUUUGUACAUGUUCCCAUACACUGGAUAAGGAUAUCUCUCUUCCCUCCCCCUUGGACUUUUAGCAGGGAAUGCUCAUUACCUUAAGAUCCUUCUAUUUUAUACAAAGUGCACAGUUUUAAUUGACCACACCAUUUCCUUGGACAUUAAUGUACAUACCUGCAACUUAUUUCGUACUAUUCUAUUGCCUUCAAGUAUACUUGGACCCUUAAGUGCUGACCCCUCAGUUCCCUUUUCUUGUCCUGUUUUAUGUGCAUAAUUGCAUUUGUCUGGGGUCUUGUACACUAGACAAGGACCACUCCCCCUCACCGCCACCCCCCCACUUCCUCUGCCUUCCUAUAUGAUAAGAUGGAGCCCACUGCUAAGACCUUUACAUUUAGACAGUUAAGUACAGAAUUGCAGUGUUCCACAACUGUCACUUCCAGGACUGUUGUAACUUUGCAUUACUGCAGGGGACACUGUUUUCCCCCAAGGCCCCUUUUAGAGGACUGUUAAUAUACAUAAUUGAAACUACUGUCUUCCUCAGCAGAUGUCUUAAAGUCAUAUCACCUCAGCUUCCCUUUACAGUACAACAGUGUGCACUGAUCAACCAAGGCCCUCUUCUGUGCAAUUGCAUUUUCUCCUGUACACUAGAUAAGGGCCCUCCCUACCUGCUUCCUUAGCAUUUUCAGCAGGCAGUGCCCACUACUCAGGACCCUCACUUGGAAAAUAUAUGUGCACAGAUGAAAUUUUCUCAGUAUGUCUUAUAGCAGAUCCCCUGUAUCCUCUGCUUAGAGAAAGGAGAUACUGGUUACCUAAUGCUCGCCCUUUUGGACUUUAAUGUGCAUAAUUGCAAUUGUCCAUCUCUGCUGUUGGAUUAGGAUUGCAGUCCCUCAACCUCUUUGCAUCAGGGGCAUGUUAACCAUGAGUGAGCUCUUCUGGAGAUAAUAUUAACGUGUAUAAUUGUAUUUAGAUAUGGACCUGUACAAUAGGAAAGGAUGCUCUGUGCCCCUACUGCUGCCUGUGUAUUGCUGCUGAGAUAUGCUAUCAGGACCUUACCUCUUUGACAAUUAAUAUGGACCAGUAAUAAUGAUUCAAAGUACUGAUCAUUAGAUAGGACCCUUGUACACCUUUUCCAUACAUCAGGGAUACAAAGGCCCCUUUCUUGGACUAUUAAUGUGAAUAUCGCAGUUGUCUCUGCCCCUUUCUGUUAGAAUAGGAUACCAUUUGCUUUUGCCCCUUUUGCAUUACUGCAGGGGCAGCUGAUCACACAAAACUUCCUGGGACUGUUAAUGAGCAUGACGGCAAUUAGCAAUGAGUUUUUCCUUCCUGGCCUUGUUAGGCAAAACACUCCCAGCCCAGUUGCCCAUGGUAGCAUACAGUAUAAACACUGCAGUAUGCCAUGAACUUGUCCAUCAAACAGUGACCCAUACUCCCACUCCUUUUGUAUUGCUGCAGUGUUUCAUACACACAUUCCCAGUAGUCAUGGUCAUACCUCUUCCCUCUCCCCACCUCCUGCCUGCCUUUGGACCGUUAUGAACUGUUAAUGCUUACGAUUCCAGGAGUCCAUGUGUCCCGCCAUUAGACAAGAUAGGGCUCCUUUGCCCCUCCCGCCCCCACCUUGUCCCUUUGCAUUGUUGCUGGGGAAUGUUGAUUGGGCAAGGAAGGCCCUUUGUCUUGGACUUCAGAUGUUCACAAUCCCAGAUGUCAUUGGUUUACCCACUUUGUAUUGCUCCAGUGCCUCAAGUUGCACUUUCCCUGGUCCUGCCCAUCAGAAAUGGACCCCUGCACUUCCCUUCUUUGCAUUGCUCUUGAGUAGCGCUGACUACCCAAGCCCCCUCUGUGUAUUAAUACAGUACUGACCAUCCUAUGUUUCAGCCCAUCAGACCAGUAUCUCCAUACUACUUUGAUGUAUUUGUGCAGUGUUGACUACAAGCAGCAGGCCUGAACUAGGUGGAUGGGCCUUCACUCCUUUUCUUGCAUUUAUGAAUGAUCUCAGUUCAAUUAUUGUCACAUUCUAGGGACAGGAACCAUCCCUGCCCACCCUUGUUACUGCUUUACUGGGCAAAAUACUAGAGGUAGCUGGAUUGCCACCCUUUAGGAUUUUUAAUAUAUAUGUACAAGUAUCGGUUGAAAAUUGUCUCCCCAGAGAGGGUUAGCAUUAUCUCUGCAUUCUUCUUUCAGAGCAGGUUCCUGGCUAAGAAUCUCUCAGUUGUUGACUAUUGCUAUGGUACAGUGCCAGUUGCCAGGAUACAACCAAAACGUUGCUGUUAAGUUUUUAUUUUUUAAGAAAGACAUGUGGACUGCAAGGUGGAGCUGAUAGAUAACCUGGUCAUUAAGUUUCCGAAGUCUAAAAACCCCAUUUUUAUGAUGUGCUUGAUGACCAGUGUCUCUCAUUUGAUUAAGGGUGGUGGGUCUGUGGAUAGACCACUGUGACGCUUCCUGUUUUAGUAUGAGCAAAGUAGUUAAGGAGUGGAAAUCUUAAGAACAGUACGUUUGGGUUCUGCCAACAUUUUAAACCAUUUUAAAACUAUUCUUUGUUUGGGCUUUACCAUCAUUCACUAUUAGGAAAACUGCCUAAACUUUCUAACACUUAAAUUUCUUCAUCUGGAGCACCAGGCAGUCCUUAACUUAUUUCAAGAAGAUUGCUAUAAAAGGAUGUAGAGAACAGAAUGCUGAGGUGCUUUUGAAAACCACAGAUCACCUUGUUUGAUUAACUUAUUAUAUAAAAUACACCCUGUUUAAUUCAGCUUAUUUAAAGUAGCCUGAGGCACCACACUGAAGUGAGGACUUAGAAAUAAUGGGACCAGUUUCCCUAUUAUAUAUUAAAAGAAAUGUAAGCCAAGAUCUAAUCAUUAUUCUGGACAUAAAUGUCAACAGUGAGAUAGCUGCCUUGUAAAAAUGAAUAAUAAGCCAGCCUUUAGUGUGCAGGGUGUUUGGUGGCAGAGAAGUAUUAAAUAUGGAACUGCUGAAGCAAAUAACUAGUCAUCACAGCAGCAGUUCUUUGUAAUCACUGAAAAAGAAUACUAUUCCUCUGAGAAGGAUGUCAAGAUUGGCCCAGCUCAGGGUGCAGUUUGCACUACUGCUCCUUGAACAUCUGUAAGAAGAGUCUCUGGCUCUUUAGGAUACUGGAUGAAUUCUGAGCCUGUUCUGUAACCCCAUUCAAGAGGAAGGACGGAUCAAUUUUACGUGGAUUGAGACCUACACUAAACCAGCAUGCAAAGAUCUUCCUCGGAAGAACAGGCUUGUUGCUUUACAGUGUUAGGGACCUAUUCCCUUUGACGAUCCCUAGGUGGAGAUGGGGCUUGAGGAUCCUCCAUGGGAAAAGCUCACUACCACUGGGCAACAACCCGAGGCCACAACAUUCUACCAAGAUUUCUUUCCUGGGCCCAGUAGGAAGAUGAAGUCUCAAGACAACCAACACACAUCAGAGGAGAACAUGGACAGCUGCUGCCAUAUCUGCAGCACUGAUCAAGGGCAGAUCAUCAUUCUGGACUCUGUGGUCUCCAGAGUCUCUUGAUGCCUGCUGGAGAACUUUGUGCUAGUCAUUUACAUAGUUCAAGAUGCUUUGAGAUGUCUGUGGGAUAAAACACAAAACAAGCUGUUUGAGAAGAUAAAUGUUUCUUUUUAUGCUGUGUUCACUAAUUGAUGGAACCUGACCAGAAAUGGCACAAAACUAUCCAUCAUCAGGCAGGAUCUAAAGAACGAGGACCCUGCAUCUGCUAGCUCCUGAUUGUUUCCUUCAUAGCUGCCAAAGAAUUAUCCCUCCCAAAAGCAGUGCAGAGAGCAAUAAAUAUGAACACACCAAAGGAAGAGCAACAUGCCUGGCACUCUAGCAUUUUACACUAGCAGAAUGAAUGUGUAUUUCUUUGCUUGUCUAAUUCCUCCGUGAAUGUCUUUGGUCUUUCUUCUCUAUCUACAGUGUAUCUUACUGUUCCCACAAGUCUCUUCCUGGUUUCUUUGUGUAUCUUUGUCUCAUUUUACACUUGUUUGUCCCCAAGAGUUGUCUGUGCCAUGUCUUAGAUGUCUGCCUUUAGUUUUUUCAUUUUAUUGCUGAUUCUCUUUGCUCUCCUAGAUAUGGCUCCUUUUUCACUGUUUUCUUUCCCUUUAUGGCUCUGAAUCAUAUGCUGUGUGCUUUUUGCUGGUUUCUUGUUCUGCCUAUCUCUCUUUUCUCUGUGUGAACUCGUUUGUUCAUCAUUCCCUCUCCUCGUUGCCUUGACGUUUCACCUUCUGAUUCUGACCUUCCUUCUGGUUGUUUCUACUCCUUAUCUUGCAUUUCUUUCUGUAUGUCCUCUCUGUCUUGUGCUAUUUUCUCUUUCUCUCCUGCUCUGGGUGUCUGUGUCUCUACUCUCUGUGAUUUUCCAUUUUCAGUGUUCAUCUCUCUGUGCUCUUGUUCCUUCUCUGCCUUUUCUCUUAUACUCACCUUUGAGUAUUUCAGCUUCUUCAUGAACCUGUGUUACCCCCUCUGGUUUCAUGCAGUCUUCUCUCCUUGCAUAUUUUGUGUGUAUGUAUGUGUGUGCUACUGUAUGUGUGUCUGUGGUAGAGGGGAUUCUCAACCCCUUCCUAGUAGGUGCAGACUGUCACCUAUCAAAAUAAGCAUUGCAGAGCUGUUCCUUACCCCAGGCUGCCCUCUGAGAUGAUAAAAGACCUAACAUGGACAGAAGGUGGAAGGCCCAAAGUAGAAGACAGAUGGAUUGAGACUUGAGACCUAAAGACUAAAAUGGAAAACCUGUGUCCCAAGAUGGAUGGAAACCUCAGGCCUGAGACUGUCUGAAGCCCUAAGAGUUACAAUGUACAGAAGGUAGGCCUUGUUGGACAGAGACUUAAAGACCUGACUGAGUUGGGUGGAAGGCUCAAGUCUUGAAUUAUAUAAAAAGCUGAAGACCCAGGAUGGGAGCUAAGGAAGGCCUGAGAACUAAGACAAAAGGCUCAAGAUAAGGCCUAAGAUAAAAAGCCUUAGCUUAAACACCUAAGACUCAAGGAUGGAAGACCUCAGACACACAAAAAAUUGAGACCGAGGACUCAAGCCUCUCUAGAUGAAUAGGAUGCCCAAGAGAGAAAAGUAACUCAAGACUAAAUCAGGUGGGAAGCUGGAGGGCCAUGACCCAGAAUCUAAGGAUAGAAGUCCCAGGAUGAGAGGAAACCCAAAGAUGAGAACCCUAAGUCCCACCUCUUUUCUAUUGUUACCUUCCCUGCUCCUGGACAUUUUCAGUUCUCCCUUUCCAGUUUUUAUAUCUCCAUUUAAGCCCACUUUUGAAGUGUCCUUUUUGAUGUUACUAUUACCUUAAACAUAUCUUUAGCUGGCAAUAUUAUGCUUAGGCCAUUCUUAAGCCAGUUUUCAUCAUAAUUUUGAACCUUUCAUCAAGUGUUUGGUGCUUUUUAGACUUAGACUUCUUUUCACCACUUGACAGAAACAUGACAGGUAACAUUGUAUUUCAAUUCUCCAUUUUCCUCAGAAACUCUAGGCUGAUGAGAAGAGGAAAGCAUCAGGCUGUUGGGGAAAAAAGUGCCGGGCUAUCUAGAGAAAAUGUGAAGAGAUGCUCCAGGCCAGUGAGAAGAAUUAGACAAAAGACAGGUUUGCCAGCCUGCUGAGAAACACCAGCCAGCAAUACCUUACGUCUUUGAGCUUGGGUGAGCAGGAUUCCUGGGGUUUGGGAUUUCUAGUGAUGGCUACAAAAAGGAAUGAGAUGACGGCCUGUGACAGAGUAAAGCCCCAAGGAGCCAGCCUGAACUCCCUGCUCAUGGUAGUGGCCUCAUUUGGUGGACUAUGUCAAGCCUGUCCCUGGGUUUAAUGCCCAUUUCUAGCCUUAAAGGAGUGAGAACUUGGGAACAUUUAGCAGGUUUAAUCCUUUCUUUGACUUUUUUCCGUCCUUACCAUGAGGGAAGACAAUUUGAAUGAUUGUGAAUAUAUUUGACAGCACUCUAAAACACAGAAAAAAGCAAGGCACUCUCAUUCAUAGUAUAUUAACAGCCACGCACAGCUAACAUUUGAAAGUGCACUGUCAGCUCUGAAGCAUUAUGUAAAUAGGUCAUCACACCCUUUUUGUAAGGGUCAGAUGGUAAAUAUUUUAGGCUUGAAGAGCCAUAUGGUUUUUGUUGCUUUAAAAAAAAAACGCUUUAAAAAGGAAAAGCUAUGCUUAGCUCCUGAACCGAGUGGAUUUGGUCCGUAGGCCAUAGUUUACCACCCCUGAUAUAAAUGCCAGGGACUGUGUGCUGAAUAAUAUUAAUUUCCUCCUGUGGGCCUGUCCCUGUGCUGGGUGCUGAGGAUGCAGUUAUUAGGUAUGAUCACAUCCAGUUUACCUAAACUUAAAAUGUGAAUGUGCUUUUGUAAACUGUAAAGCACCUAAAGACUUAACGAGUUUCAGAGUUGAUGAAUGAAUAUUGAUUGCAUAGCGUACACAUUCUACUGUGCUAAGGCUCUGUGGAUACAAAGAUUAAAAGAAGCAUGAAUAAAGUGCUGCGCCAAAAGUAUAAUACUUCACAUAUACUAGGAAUUAAGUGUUGAUAAAUGGGCAAUUCAUGUAUUUGUGGCCAUCAUGUUUUUGCUGCUAUGGUGAUUUUGAGUAAAAAGAGUAUCCAGGUAGCAAACACAUGGAAACUUCUUUUAAACUAUAAUACAUUACAAACACAAGGGAUUAAGCUAUUGUGAUCAAUAAUGUGCCAGAUAUACUAGGCACUAAAGAUAUCAAAGAAAAAAAAGCAUUCUCAUAGAAAUAAAAUUUCAGAUAAGUGCAUAUUGAAAACUAAAGCACUAUGUAAAUACAAAUGCGCUACAUGCGUGUGAAUGAAUGAAUAAAUAUUAACUGCCUUUUGUGUACCAGCUAUUGUUUCAGGUACUGUGAAAUGCCAGAUAAUGCUCCCAAGUAGUAAGAGGGAGGUUUAUGUCCUAUACUAUUCACUAUACAUUGCUUAUUUUAACCAAUCAAGACUUUACUGGUGAUGUCAAAUUGAUACCAGUGUAUUUUCCUAGGUAACAGCAAAAUGUAAUGAAUGAGACUGCACUUUCUAAACUAUAAAGUGCUAUAUAAAACUUAGACAUUAGAUGUUUCCUGUGUGACUAAAAUUUUUUGCAUGACAGGCAUUAUCUCUACAAAAUUCUUGUGUGCUUGACCCACUAUGAAAGGGGUAAUACAAAUAGUUACAUAAACUGAAGGUUUAAAUAUUUGUUAAUCAGUUGCCUACUAGGUGAACUCACUACAGGCAUUAAAGAGCUAAAUAAAUUUAUCAUUUCAUUUUGUCUAUAGUUGAGAAUAAGGCAAUACAUAUGUUAGCAUUUUGUGAACUCCAAAGCACCAUGUAAAUAUAUGUAAAUUGAUUUUCUCAUGUGGUGCCAAGUACUAAGCUUGUAAGAUUGUUACACAGUUUUAUAUGUAUAUAUAAAUACAUACAUAUAUAGAUAUAACAUAAAAUAAUAAUCAUUAUAAUUGUAUCAUCAUUAUAUAUAUGAAAAAUUUGAGGAAGGACUAUUAACUGUUGAAAACCAGAAUAUAAGUGUAGAGGAUUUAAUGUAUAAAGAAGGCAAAACUGGAUAAUUCUAUUUUGUGCCAGUUUCCUUGCUAGGCACUGAGGAUGUGAAGAUGAAACCAUCUUUAUUGUGUCCUGGGUAGCAGAAGAUAAUGUAUACAAUCAAUAAGUCUCAAAUUGCCAUACAUAGAUAAGCACUAUCUGUUGAUGGAACACUAUUCAUUUACUCUGUCUUAUCCUCAGAGAAAGUAACUGGGGAUGUAAAAAUUCAUUAUCAUUGAACCUACACCAGAGAUCUGUGUAAACUUACAAAGCUGACUAAGGAAUUAACUGUUGGUUUAAGGAAUGAUUACUGAUUACUUUUUAUGAGGCUUAGAACUGUGCAUGGCCUAGGAUAUAAAAAUACUAUCCUUAUUGGGUGUUCCCAGCAGGAAAAUGAGGUAUAGGUGUGAGAUCCAGACUGAAAGUUACUUAACCACUGUGAAGCUUAUGUGAUGAUGAAAAUGGGAAAAACAGAAUUGUGCAGGACAGUAGGCCAAACGCUGAGCUAGGUGGAAAGAUAAAGUUCAGACCAGAAGUCUACAUGCUCCCUGGUCUGAAUAAAGAGAUGCAGAAAUUUUUCUAAAAAGUAAAGUGCUGUGGUUCUCCACCAGUACCAGUUUUUAAAAAUGCUGAGUGCUGAUGAUGGAGAUAUUUUAAGUCCACGCUUGCCUGGCUUAGAUACACUAAAGGACUAAAAAUAAAUGGCUCAGGUUUACUUUAGGUUAAUUUGCUAAGCAGAGCAUCUUUUAUGUAGAAUAUCAUUCUAGAUCCAGAGCAUAAGUGAAGUGAAAUGAGCUUUGUCUAAAGGGUAUCAGAUCACAAAUCAUAGCUGAAGAUACAAAGACAUCUUUGACUUUUGAGUAGGUAUUUCUGUGCCUGUUCUCCAGAAGGCAGUAUGCUUGAUGAAUUAAUCUAGUAGGUCUGGUUUCGAGGAUCUGUUGACUUGCCUUGGAGAUAGAAAAAGAUGGCAUGGUUCUUUAAAUACAAAAGGAAGAUAUUUUUCAUAGUUCUAGAAAGUCCCAUGUCACUUGCUUAUUUACAUGGCUUAAAGCCAGAAGAAGCCAGAUAAAAGGGCUCAAUGUUUGUCCUUUAAUAAAAUGUGAAUUAUAGUGAAAUGGUUUAAGAUACAAAUUAAGAUGAAACAACUUGUUUUAAAAGUAUUUGCUCAUUGGACUGGCUUAGAGUCAGGAAGCCACUUGAGCUAUAUAGAUGAUUAUUUCUAGAUUGUCCGUAUUUUGUAAAAAUUUAUUCAUUCUGGAUAAAGUCCUGUUCUUGAGUGUUUAGAUGAAGAGAUUUAAAAGACCUAGACCAAAACGCACUUUAAUCUCACUAGCUUAUAGUGGAAACACAAGAACAAAUUUAAUAAGAGACUAUAGUUCUUCAAUUAGUUGAAAAAACUUCAUUGGAGCAGCUGUGAUACUAAAGCACUGAGAAGGAAUGAUGAAAUAGAUCACCUCUUUGGCAUGCUUUGUAGAGUAGGAAUAAAAGCUUUUUUUAUUCAUUCAUUCAUACAAACAAGAAGGUGGUGCUAAAUGAAACAGGUCUGGUACUAAAGGUGCUUAGUCUGUCUUGAAAAUGCAGUAAAAACAAGAAGUGGAAUGAAAACCUUUAUUAAUCAGAAAUUUGUUUAUUUCAAGGUAACAGUGUUAAUUCCUUGACAGAAAACAAGUCGUGACUAAAGCACACUUUCUAAAAUUGGCUUGGAGACUAGAAUAUAAGAGAAAGGUCACUGUUCAUUCACUUUUUUCAUUCACUCACUCUACCAAGUAUAUUUGAGUGUCUACUGUGUAUAAGGUCCUUUGCUACAUUUUCAGUUGGCCCCAGAGACGUGAAACAAACGAAUGCCUUCCCAGACAACUUUUAAAACUUUGCUUUUGGCCUGUUUUCUGGUUAUGGGCAAGAUUUAAUCUCUGAAUAAUAUUAGGGGGGUUUAAUUCCUACUCCAUAUUAUUUUCUACCACUCUGGCCACUAUAAUAAGCAGGGUUUUCUACUGAGCUUGCUCCAUAAGUUGCAGGAACUGUCCUUAUAAUAGACACUUCCUUUUCUCCUAGCCUAUUCCUCAUGAAAAAUGGCUGUGACCACUGCUGGGUAGGAGGAGAGAUAACAAAGAACUAAUUCCCAAACCUGCCUCAUUGGUACCAGCAUUGGGGAAUCAAUCAUUCUCAAGCCACAAUUGGUUUUGAAACAUUUACCAACUUUGUCUGUUUUCAGUUCUUUACAUUUUACAUUCUGACAAAUGUAUACUGCCUAAAUAGAUCUCUUUGAAGAAGAGUCCUUAAAUAGCACAUAGCAAGACUGGAGAUGGAGACAUGAUUUCUCUUUUGCAAUAGUUUCUCAACAUACACCUUAGAAACCUCACCAUCAAAACCUGUUCAAGAAAGGACUUGUUAUAGUGGAAUAAUGUCAGUGAAUGAAAAUAGCUUAACAAUUUCACCAUGCUGAAGUUUUAAGAACAGUAACAAUUGGAAUUAGAAAAAAUAGGAGGGAAAAAUAUUACUUUAAAAUUCUCUCCAAAUAUAGGCCAGACUGGGGUUUGACCUUUUCUUUUUUUUAAAUCACUCACAGAGGGUGGGAUAGGAGGAAGAGUGAAAGAAAAGGUCAAACCUGUUUGUAAGGGCAGCCUGCCUUUCCUGGAUUGGUCUUAAAAGCAUUACUACCUCCGGUCUAACUUGGGGAUUGCUUUAUUCACUUUAAUGCAGUUCUAAUAACUGGUCAUUGUUGAGAUGAAGACAGACUCCUUUGCUCCCAGUCAUUUCUGUAAGUUCUUGAGAAACAGUAAUUGGUUGAUUGGUUUGGUUAUCAGCUAAGCCUUAGGCUAUGUAAUAAUGGAUUUUAUUAACAUGACCUCUCCAUCAUAAGGUAGUAAAGCUCAAGUCAAAAUUAACUACAAAGGAAGAUGACUUUUGUUCACUGUAAUUCAUACAUACUUCAAAGCAUCUAAACUUGAGAAUAUGUGGCAAGCCAACAGUAUCAUCCAUAAAUGGAGAAGGAAUUAGAGGAAUGACAGAGGCUAAUUGGUGGAGGGAGCAAGGCUAAAGAGGAUUAGUGGGUGAUCUUUCGAAUUUUGGAUCCGUACAUUUUAAUUUGUACAUCAGAUACAUCCAAAAUAUUAUCUGGCUUUUAAUAUGUGCUGUCAGCAGGGUUGAGUAAAACCUCUUCAGGUGGGGAUGGGGGAUUGCAUUAUUAGGAAGUGGAAAGGAGAAAGUCACUAAGAGCCUUCCUUUCACAGUUCCUGACAUCCUAAGACUACUACUGAUAAGAAUAAGAGAACAUGCUGACACCUGAUUUUUGUCACAUAAAUGAAGUUGUGAACAAAUCUAUUUUUAAAGGAUAUUACUCCAUCUCUACCCUUCCACCUGAAAGGGAAUCCAUGUCAAAAUGCUCUGAUAAAUUGAAGAUAAACUGACUUGUGAACUGAUGUGAAAUGCAGAAUCUCUGAGCCUUGACUGGUUUGAAGAUUGAAAAACCUUGCUCAGCAUGGGCGAACACCAAAAGGCUAUCUAAUGUUAUCUGUUUCAGAACCAAGAAAAAUUGGGGAGUAUGUAGUCUACUGUCAAAUAAAAUGUACUAUUUUGAAAACUA